RNA transcript from Osmerus eperlanus (European smelt), 1867 nucleotides. It is a transcript of the gene named Rh blood group, D antigen, with no coding region annotated. Lineage: Eukaryota; Metazoa; Chordata; Actinopteri; Osmeriformes; Osmeridae. The record is from RefSeq and is a predicted model, not a curated record. The transcript is spliced from 9 exons.
UCAGUAUUUUACAAGUACGCAGGUUUUACGCAGUAGUAAACUAUGGCUCCUCAGUACGCACCAAGUCUACGCUCUCGACUAUUUCCUCUGCUCAUAUGCUUGCAGACGAGUUUCAUUGUAAUAUUCCUUUUUUGUGUAAAGUAUGACCACCACAUAUCGGAUGAUAAGUUACUUUACGCGGAGUUUCAGGAUGUCAAUGUGAUGGUGGUUCUUGGGUUUGGCUUCCUAGCCACAUUCUUGUCAAGGUACAGCUUCAGUGGCUCUGGUUUCAACCUCUUGGUGGCAGCCAUGGCGGUCCAGUGGGCACUCAUCUUAAAUGGAUUAGAAUCUUGGUAUCACAGAGGACAGAUAAUAAUAAACCUCAGAAGCCUGGUGAUUGCUGAGAUGUGUGCAGCAUCAGCCCUCAUUUCCAUUGGUGCUGUACUUGGGAAAACCAACCCUGUCCAUCUUCUCCUCAUCGCCCUUAUUGAGGUCUCAGGGUUUGUGCUGAAUGGCUGGAUCCUCCAGACCUACCUGAGGGUGAAGCCUCUGUAUUGUACCAUGCUGCUUCACAUCUUUGGUGCUUUCUUUGGACUGAUGAUGUCAUGGGUCCUCUACAGUGAGGAUUCAGAGCAACAACACGAGAAAGAGAAAAUCCAUCGCAGGACAGGACUGUUCUCCUUGCUUGGGACUCUGUUCUUGUGGAUGUUCUGGCCCAGUUUCAACUCGGUCCUGGUAGAUCCCAAUGACCAUCAGAGGAAGUUGACAGCAGUCUACAGUACCUACCUAGCCCUGUCCGUUAGUGCUGUGACCGCUGCUGGGGUUUCAGUUCUUUCCAGCCCCACAGGGAAAUUCAACUUGGUACACGUCCAGAGCUCAUCUCUUGCUGGUGGGGUAGCUGUUGGGGUUUCCAUGUCAGCUGUCCGUGAGCCGUGGGUAGCCAUGACGAUUGGAUUGGCUGCUGCAAUGAUAUCGACAUUAGGAUUGAGAUACAUUCGGCCCCACCUGCUGUCUGCUUUUAAAUGCCACGAUACCUGUGGUGUCCUCAGUGUCCAUGGGCUGCCAGGCAUCUUGGGAUGGCUGGCACAUCUACUCCUUCAGCUUGCUGACUCUGAUGACCUCACAACGGCUAUUCGUUGUGCAGUGUUUAACAUUUGCACUCUUAAUGUCACGCUGAGUCUCAGUAUGGCACUGGGGGUCAUAGCAGGUAAGUCUGCAUCACAAGAUGGUUCCUCUUACUGGACAUUUAACUGUGCCUCCAUCACAUUGCUACUGUUGGUCCAUGCUUAUGUUACUGUGGUAACAAAUACAAUUCACAAACUGUAUUUUAAUCUUAAGGAAUGCUUUUGAAGUGGAAUUUUUGGAGGCCACCCCAAGAAAAAAAGUUUUUUGACGACCAGGCCUUCUGGGAGUUUCCCCACCUUGCAGUGCACAAGUGAGAAGUUUAUGGAGAAAGACAUGGAUAUUUGGAAAGGAAUGAUUGAAGGUCCAACAUAAUGUAUGUUGUGUGUCAUGUGAGUUAAGCCAAGAACAUGAUGGGAGAGCAGUGAAUAAAGACACUUUGAUUAUCUGUACAUGUUUUGUUUAAUGCAUGUUUCAGUUUGAUAAAGUGACCUCAUAGUUUGGUUAUUACACAGGUAAAUGCAUAACAUGCACUGCAGUCAGUUAAAUAUUUGCUGUGAAACUUUCUUCUUAGUCACAGACAUAGUCCUUAGACAUCGUCUCUUGCUCUCAUUUCAGUAGCAUGACUUUUCAUCCAUAAGCAUUCCAUUUAUUAAACCUGGUAUGAAUGCAAUUAGGCCUGUCCUCCCAAGAAAAAAAAACACAAAUCGCCAUCAUAUAUUUUUUUACAAUCUUUUAAGUAAAUGUAAAAGUACAAAACACAGUA